RNAcentral lists this ribosomal RNA (301 nucleotides) under uncultured bacterium. RNAcentral's name for it is "partial 16S ribosomal RNA". It matches the Rfam family "Bacterial small subunit ribosomal RNA", at positions 509 to 807 of the family's 1533-position model. The record is from RNAcentral.
CAGCCGCCACGGGAAUACGUAGGUGGCAAGCGUUAUCCGGAAUUAUUGGGCGUAAAGCGCGCGUAGGCGGUUUUUUAAGUCUGAUGUGAAAGCCCACGGCUCAACCGUGGAGGGUCAUUGGAAACUGGAAAACUUGAGUGCAGAAGAGGAAAGUGGAAUUCCAUGUGUAGCGGUGAAAUGCGCAGAGAUAUGGAGGAACACCAGUGGCGAAGGCGACUUUCUGGUCUGUAACUGACGCUGAUGUGCGAAAGCGUGGGGAUCAAACAGGAUUAGAUACCCCCGUAGUCCCUGUCUCUUAUAC